GUUAGUGGAUCUAUUUAUGAAAAAAAAUAGCUAUAAAGACUAAAAAAAAUGAAUAGUAGUUUUGAGGUUUUAAAUAGUAAAACCUCAAAUUUGAGGUAUCACUAUUCAAAACCUCAAAAAUUGAGGAUUUAAUAUUGGAUUGGAAUGACAAAAACCUCAAAAUUUAAGGAUUUGAGGUUGGGUUGGAGAUGCUCUUAAAACCUUAAAAUAAGGUUUUGAGUUGAAGAUUCUCUUAUAUUUAUCAUCUUCGAGUUUCGAUUGAAAAGAGAGAGAGAUAAUUGAAGAAACCGUAAUUACAGAAAAGAUGUUUAAUCGAUUAUGUUCCGAGAAAUCAUCAGGCAGAAAGCCUAUAUCUAAAAAAAGAGAUUAAAUCCAAAUGCCUUUCCCUCGCUCUAAAAAUUCUUCUUUCUCCUCUUACUAAAAUAUUACUUAUUAUUUAUAUAUUUUUAAAUAGAAAACAUGGGUCCAAAGUGGUAAAGACUUUAAAACCCUUAAUGAAUUUUGAUAAUUACUAACCCAACCACUUCUUAGUCGGGUUAUCCACCCAUAUCAAAUUAAAAAAAAAAUUCAUAAAUUUAAGGGCAAUUCUUUCAAAUAGCCAUUUUUAAGUUUUUGUCACAAAAAUAGUCCUCAAAAAAAUGAGCAAAACAGUUUCUUUUUAUUUUGAAAAUUUUAAUAUUUAUUUUUUAUUUUUAAAAAUUUGAAACCAUAUCCACAAAACUCCACCCAUUAGCUAUAAAUCCUAAGUCUAAAUUAGUUAACUAUAGGGGUAAAAUAUAUUUUUACCCUUUAAUAAAAAAAAUUUUAGUCAUUUUUUUCAUUGAGAGCUAUUUUGUAACAAAAACUUAAAGAGGGCUAUCCUAAAAAAAUUUUUAAAUUUUUUUUUUUAAAUUUAAUUUAAAACAAAAGAAAAAAUCAUAAACUUGGGCCUCCACACCUUUUCUCUUCGUCGUCUACCCAUCCGACUCCUCCAUUUUUUUCUGCAAUCAAAAGAAAUGAAAUCUGCAAAGUCCAUGGAACUAGCUUAGUCUUUAUUUGAGACCGAGGUCUUCACGGCAAGCGUUUUCUCGGCAUAUAUUGAGCAAUUUCUUUUUGAUUCUCUCUAUUUUGUUUCCCGAUGAGCAUUUUAUGUGCCGUGUCAUACACCGAUUUCUCUUCGAUUCUCCCCAGUUUGCUUGCAAACGUUGAUUCUGAGGCAGAGAUGAAGGGCACAGAGGCUAGCCAUCACAAGCUCUCAAACGGAAGCUCUUCGAUCAAUCUGAACAUCACAAGCUCUCCAAUCGAAGGAGACGGUUGCAGUGGAAGACCUAGUCUUCUUUUUCUCAUUAAGAGCUCCAAGACCAUUCUUCUCCAUCAAAGAUCCUUUAUGUGCCUUUUGUAGAGGUUUUUGUAUAAAUUGUAUCAAUUUGGAGGAUUUCACUUGACGUUUCAAUUAGAAGACGACGGCCCAAGCGCCCAGAAGCCGAUGGCUGUAUCUGAAGAUCAGAGCUGCAAGGCAGUUUUAGAGAGGGUAAUUUUUUUGGACAAUCCGUCAAAAGAAGAGUUAGCUUCAUGUUUUACGGAUGUUAUGACUCAGAUAGCUCAAGACCUUACGAUGUCAGGGGAUCACCGUUCUCGCAUAACAAGAUUGGAAUCUGAACUGGUUUGAGAAGUUGAAAGGCCUACCUUAUGGUAUCACUUUGUUCAAGUAAUACUUUGAGGUCUAAGGAUAGAUUUUCUUUAAGUUUCAGUUAGCUACAAAGGAAUCAAAUAUUAUUAGUUGAUAUAGGAUCUUCUGAUGUCUUUAAUAACAGGGAGGCGAGUUGUCAGUGCAUCUCCAAUGGUGCAUCAAAAUGAGGGAAAACAUCAAAAAAUGAGGGAAACUCAUCUCCAAUGGUACAUUAUUUUGAGGGAAAAAAUAAGUAUAUGAACAGUAUUACAUCAAAUUUGAGGGAACACUAUUCACAACCUCAUUUUGAUGUCAAGCUUUUUUUAUUUACAUAAUGAUCCUUUAUUUUAUGCAUAAACAAAACAUUAACACUAAACAUAACUUUUAUAACUUUAUACCCAAUAUGUAUAUACUUAUUAAACUUCUUAAAAUAGAAUUACCAAUAAUUAAUUAUUAAAAUAUAAUUAAUAAUUUAAAAUUUUAUAAAUUAUACUAUAUAAUUUAAAAAAAAAUAGAAAACAAUACCAUUGAGAUACAUAAGUAAUACAAAGUUUAAAAAAACACAAGAAACGUAAUACAACAUUUAACAACUCUAAACAUAAGACAAACUUAAUACAAUAUGCAGGCUGUAGCGGAUCACCAACUAUUAUUCUUGAAGCCGUAGCAGAUUAUGAUCUUUGGAUAUGGCAUGCAUAUUUUGGUAUGCCGGGCACCAAUAAUGAUAUCAAUGUGUUAGAAUCUUCUCAUCUUUUCUCCAAUCUUGCUCAAGGUAUUGCUCCUCCUGCUCAGUAUGUCAUUCAAGGAAAAGAAUAUAAUCUGGGUUAUUAUUUGGCUGAUGGAAUAUAUCCAAAAUGGUCUACCAUAGUGCAAACUAUUCAAGAGCCUGUAGGUCCUAAAAAUAAAUAUUUUGCUAUGCAACAAGAAGCAUGCAGAAAAGAUGUGGAACGUGCUUUUGGAGUUCUCCAGUCACGUUUUGCUAUUGUGAAGGGACCCGUUCGUUUUUGGAAAAAAAGAUGUGAUUCAUGACAUAAUGUUUACUUGUGUAAUUUUACACAACAUGAGAAUUGAAGAUGAGCGUGAUCUCGAUGCACCAAUUGUAGUUGGAAGAGAAGUUUCACCUCCGGAAGUUGAAAUAGCUGAAGACGAACCUACCCGAUUCCAAAAGUUUUUGAGUCGGUUUAGACAAAUCAAGGAUAAAGAAGCUCAUUUCUCUCUUCGAAAUGCAUUGAUUGUUCAUUUGUGGGAAAAAUAUAGUAAGAGUAUUGUUUAAGUAAAAUUAUACUAUUACUUUGUAUGUUGUUAUGUACUUUUAUGAAUGUAAUAAAUAUUUGUUUUUUACAAGUUGAAGUUUGGUUAAAUUGUAUAAUUUAAAAAUAAGUGAGAAUAAUUUAAAAUCUUAUAAAAUAAAGGUGUUCUUUGCAAUAUAUAAAAAGUUGAAAAAUGAAUAUAAUAAGAUUUGAAGGAGAAAAUGAGGGGAACCAUUGGAGCAAAUCACAAACUCAUUUUGAGUUUACUUCAUUUUGAGGAAAAAAAUGAGGUAAACCAUUGGAGAUGGUCUCAAACCAUAAAUUGUUGGCAAUGCCGGUAAGACUUGAGCAAAAGGACAAUGUUGACGCUCUUGUACAGAAGUUUCUUCGGCAAAUUUCAUGCUGAGACGUUCCUCGGCAUCGUCGUCGGUCUAGAAGAGAGGUGAGUUGAGGAAGACAAGAACUGGGUCGACCGAUCUUCAUCGACAAGGAACCGUAUCAGCCAGCAAUAAAUGGAGGUUUAAGCGGAUUAGUGUGAUAUCAUGUUUAUUGCAGAGGCAAACUGAAGAGAAUACGAAAUAAACACAUACAGUUUUGUAAUCUGAUCAAAUUAAAUAUAGAAAAAGAUUUAAAUAUAUGUUAAUAUUUAAUUAUACACUCAA
This is a long non-coding RNA of Brassica napus (rape), 3557 nucleotides long. RefSeq lists it as uncharacterized. Lineage: Eukaryota; Viridiplantae; Streptophyta; Magnoliopsida; Brassicales; Brassicaceae. The transcript is spliced from 4 exons. The record is from RefSeq and is a predicted model, not a curated record.